AACGAACGCUGGCGGCAGGCUUAACACAUGCAAGUCGAGCGCCCCGCAAGGGGAGCGGCAGACGGGUGAGUAACACGUGGGAACAUACCCAUCUCUGCGGAACAACUCCGGGAAACUGGAGCUAAUACCGCAUACGCCCCUAGGGGGAAAGAUUUAUCGGAGAUGGAUUGGCCCGCGUUGGAUUAGCUAGUUGGUGGGGUAAAGGACUACCAAGGCGACGAUCCAUAGCUGGUCUGAGAGGAUGAUCAGCCACAUUGGGACUGGGACACGGCCCGAACUCCUACGGGAGGCAGCAGUGGGGAAUAUUGGACAGUGGGCGCAAGCCUGAUCCAGCCAUGCCGCGUGAGUGAUGAAGGCCUUAGGGUUGUAAAGCUCUUUCACCGAUGAAGAUAAUGACGGUAGUCGGAGAAGAAGCCCCGGCUAACUUCGUGCCAGCAGCCGCAGUAA
RNAcentral lists this ribosomal RNA (447 nucleotides) under uncultured bacterium. RNAcentral describes it as "partial 16S ribosomal RNA". It matches the Rfam family "Bacterial small subunit ribosomal RNA", at positions 29 to 523 of the family's 1533-position model. The record is from RNAcentral.